This 453-nucleotide ribosomal RNA is filed under the name uncultured Sphingobacteriales bacterium. RNAcentral describes it as "bacterial SSU rRNA". It matches the Rfam family "Bacterial small subunit ribosomal RNA", at positions 925 to 1382 of the family's 1533-position model. Lineage: Bacteria; Pseudomonadati; Bacteroidota; Sphingobacteriia; Sphingobacteriales. The record is from RNAcentral.
ACAAGCGGUGGAGCAUGUGGUUAAUUCGAUGAUACGCGAGGAACCUUACCUGGGCUCAAAUGUAUGUUGACGUAUUCUGAAAGGGAUACUUCUUCGGACAAUAUACAAGGUGCUGCAUGGUUGUCGUCAGCUCGUGCCGUGAGGUGUCGGGUUAAGUCCCAUAACGAGCGCAACCCCUAUCAUUAGUUGCCAUCAGGUCAAGCUGGGGACUCUAAUGAAACUGCCUACGCAAGUAGUGAGGAAGGUGGGGAUGACGUCAAAUCAGCACGGCCCUUACGUCCAGGGCUACACACGUGCUACAAUGGCCGGUACAAAGGGCAGCUACCUGGUGACAGGAUGCUAAUCUCAAAAGCCGGUCCCAGUUCGGAUUGCAGGCUGAAACUCGCCUACAUGAAGUUGGAGUUGCUAGUAAUCGCGAAUCAGAAUGUCGCGGUGAAUGCGUUCCCGGGUCUU